Non-coding RNA from Taeniopygia guttata (zebra finch), 751 nucleotides. The record is from RefSeq and is a predicted model, not a curated record. NCBI's taxonomy places the organism in Eukaryota, Metazoa, Chordata, Aves, Passeriformes, Estrildidae.
GAAAGACCUGCAACAUUGACUGGUAAAACAAAAACACAUAACCCAAACUCAUCCAGUGACCUUAGAUAACCGCAGAAUCAGGCAGCUCUGCAACAGGGCAGAAGACAACAUCCUCAUUCCCAGAGACUGACCAGAUGUCAGAUCUGUGGAAGUCAUCACAUCCAGACCAAGCCAUGUGAACACUCUCUCCAGUUGCUCUGUAAAUAAAUGAAAAAUAAAAGGAAAAUUCGAGGCAAGAGGAAAACUUUUUAUGAAGUCACCAUGCAAGCUAAUCUGCGAGGAGGAAAGACCUUACACCCUGACACUUCUCCAGAUUCAUUCUCAUACUAGUACCAACUAAAGGUUAACCGGAAUAAAAAAAGAUGGCAUUAGCUCAGAGUUCCUGGAUUUUUCUAGACAAGCUCCAGACUUAGUGCAUACACUGUCAUUGUAAGUGAGCACACAAACGACACUUGAAAACACAAAGAAUCUGCCCUUCCCCAGUUUCAGAAAAGAUCUUUCAAAAUCUUCCUCACAUCCUUAUUUUCCAGUUGCACUUUUGACUAUUAAGAGUUCCAUUCAUAAGAAAUAAAUAGAAGAAGCAGAACAAAGUAAGAAGUAUGCACAGAGUUGCUUGAGUAUGGAUUUUUGCAUUAUAUUAGGUAGAAUGAUGGUUUAAUUUAGUUUAGUUUUAGUUCUUUACUAUAGCUAUAGAUAAAGGAUAAGUAAAAAGUGAUUCUUAAAAUUAUUCAAGAAUAAUCCAACAGAAAAA